This 75-nucleotide transfer RNA is filed under the name Candidatus Viadribacter manganicus. RNAcentral describes it as "Caulobacteraceae bacterium OTSz_A_272 tRNA-Glu". It matches the Rfam family "tRNA". Rfam says of the family: Transfer RNA (tRNA) molecules are approximately 80 nucleotides in length. Their secondary structure includes four short double-helical elements and three loops (D, anti-codon, and T loops). Lineage: Bacteria; Pseudomonadati; Pseudomonadota; Alphaproteobacteria; Hyphomonadales; Hyphomonadaceae. The record is from RNAcentral.
GGCGCCUUCGUCUAUGGGUUAGGAUUCUGCGCUUUCAAUGCGGGCAAACGGGUUCGAGUCCCGUCGGCGCUAGCA